This 254-nucleotide ribosomal RNA is filed under the name uncultured bacterium. RNAcentral's name for it is "partial 16S ribosomal RNA". It matches the Rfam family "Bacterial small subunit ribosomal RNA", at positions 524 to 776 of the family's 1533-position model. The record is from RNAcentral.
UACGGGGGGAGCAAGCGUUGUUCGGAUUUACUGGGCGUAAAGGGCGCGUAGGCGGCCACCGCAAGACGACUGUGAAAUCUCCGGGCUUAACCCGGAAAGGUCAGCCGAUACUGCGGGGCUAGAGUGCAGAAGGGGCAACUGGAAUUCUCGGUGUAGCGGUGAAAUGCGCAGAUAUCAGGAGGAACACCGGUGGCGAAGGCGGUUCUCUGGGCAUUACCUGACGCUGAGGAGCGAAAGCAUGGGGAGCGAACAGG